This is a small nucleolar RNA of Bufo bufo (common toad), 88 nucleotides long. The record is from RefSeq and is a predicted model, not a curated record. Lineage: Eukaryota; Metazoa; Chordata; Amphibia; Anura; Bufonidae.
CUGUCCCUGUGAUGCUAGCACUGGGCUCUGAAUCAAUGUGACGAUACGGUGCCCCUCUGUCCUGACAUGCAGAGGGCCUGAGGGACAG